This is a long non-coding RNA of Physeter macrocephalus (sperm whale), 678 nucleotides long. RefSeq lists it as uncharacterized. The transcript has 3 exons. Lineage: Eukaryota; Metazoa; Chordata; Mammalia; Artiodactyla; Physeteridae. The record is from RefSeq and is a predicted model, not a curated record.
CCCUUCACCCAUUCAUUGUCUCAGUCCAGGUUUAUCAAGUGCUGGCUGCGUGCCGGGCACGGACCAGGUGCUGAGCACGUGAAGAUUGGGAAAUGAAGACAAGAGAGGGGAGGGACCUUCCCAGAGAGGGACAGGGACGAGAAGGCCUAUGGCAGGGAGGGGAUUGAGGCCCGGAGCCAGGCCAUUGGACCCCAGAUCCUGAGCGGCCUCUGCAGCACCAUGAGGCACAGCCAUGAGGUGUGCCGCUGACACCCCCUAUCUCCCUCGCUCCUCGGUGAGCCACACCCAAAGUCUUCCCAGCAUGGACCUCCAAGAGAGCUGGGUAUCCAGGGAGAAGAGAAGGAGGACCAAGGCUACUCCCUGCCACACUUUCACCUCCAGUCAUCCCUGGACAGGGCCCCAGGGACCUGUGCUUGCCAAGCCUGUGUCACAUGGUUAUCACUAUGUCCCUUAUGCUCUCUGGGCCUCAGUUUCUCCUGUGUAAGAGGACAGAUAGACCGCAACUGAGGCCCAUCCAUGGAGACAUGACAUCUAGGCUGGGACGAGGGGAGUGCUUUGAAAUUCUUUGGAAUAAAGCAGUAGGCAGGCAGUGUGCAAGGAGGCAGCACCCUCUCCUGCUCAUGCAGAGUGCCUAGAAUCCACCAAGCACCAGACCACAGUGCCAGCUCGGAAGCUCUA